This 378-nucleotide ribosomal RNA is filed under the name uncultured organism. RNAcentral's name for it is "partial 16S ribosomal RNA". It matches the Rfam family "Bacterial small subunit ribosomal RNA", at positions 527 to 896 of the family's 1533-position model. The record is from RNAcentral.
GUAGGUGGCAAGCGUUGUCCGGAUUUACUGGGGGGCGUAAAGGGGCGUGUAGGGCGGGCCCGUUAAGUCCGGGUGUGAAAUCUCCCGGCUCAACUGGGAGGGGUCAUCGGAUACUGGCGGACUUGAGGUGGGCAGAGGAAGGUGGAAUUCCCGGUGUAGCGGUGAGAUGCGUAGAUAUCGGGAGGAACACCAGUGGCGAAGGCGGCCUUCUGGGCCCACUCUGACGCUGAGGCGCGAAAGCGUGGGGAGCAAACCGGAUUAGAUACCCGGGUAGUCCACGCCCUAAACGUUGGACACUAGGUGUGGGGGGUGUCGACCCCCUCUGUGCCGUAGCUAACGCAUUAAGUGUCCCGCCUGGGGAGUACGGCCGCAAGGCUA